GGGACAGUGCAGGAGGCAGGAAUCUGAAGUGCCUGAUGCUUGAGAAGAGUCAUCUUUGAGCUGGCCUGAUGCCCACCUGCUUUAUUCCAGAUGUGGCCAUGGAAAGUCCCUAAGGAAAGCAACCACAGGGAAGAAAGUCUUGCUGGCUUAAUACCUAAAAACAAAAGCAAAGUAA
This is a long non-coding RNA of Pipra filicauda (Wire-tailed manakin), 175 nucleotides long. RefSeq lists it as uncharacterized. NCBI's taxonomy places the organism in Eukaryota, Metazoa, Chordata, Aves, Passeriformes, Pipridae. The transcript is spliced from 2 exons. The record is from RefSeq and is a predicted model, not a curated record.